CCCACUAAGUUUAAGCAUAUCAAUAAGCGGAGGAAAAUAAACUUACAAGGAUUCCCUUAGUAACGGGGAGCUAAUCGGGAACAACACAUCCUUAGAAUCGGGCGGCUCCAUCGUCCGAAUUGUAUUAUGGAGAAGCGUCCUCAGCGGAGGAUCGGGCCCAUGUCCCCUGGAAGGGGACGCCAGAGAGGGUGACAGCUCCGUUGUCCUUGGACCCUGCCACACGACGAGGCGCUGUCUACGAGUAGGCCUGUUUGGGAAUGUAACCCAAAACAGGCGGUGAAUUUCGUCCUAGGCUAAAUACAGGAGAGACACCGAUAACUAACACGUACCACGAGG
This 336-nucleotide ribosomal RNA is filed under the name Solanum tuberosum (potato). RNAcentral's name for it is "rRNA LSU_rRNA_eukarya". It matches the Rfam family "Eukaryotic large subunit ribosomal RNA", at positions 24 to 358 of the family's 3401-position model. The record is from RNAcentral. Lineage: Eukaryota; Viridiplantae; Streptophyta; Magnoliopsida; Solanales; Solanaceae.